RNAcentral lists this ribosomal RNA (371 nucleotides) under uncultured bacterium. RNAcentral describes it as "bacterial SSU rRNA". It matches the Rfam family "Bacterial small subunit ribosomal RNA", at positions 32 to 416 of the family's 1533-position model. The record is from RNAcentral.
AAUCAACGCUGGCGGCGCGCUUAACACAUGCAAGUCGCACGAGAAAGUGGAGCAAUCCAUGAGUACAGUGGCGUACGGGUGAGUAACACGUGGGUAAUCUACCUCUUAGUGGGGAAUAACUCUGGGAAACCGGAGCUAAUACCGCAUAAGCCUGGAAAGGGAAAGCAGCAAUGCGCUGAGAGAGGAGCCCGCGGCCGAUUAGCUAGUUGGUAGGUAAAGCCACCAAGGCAAUGAUCGGUAGCCGGCCUGAGAGGGCACACGGCCACACUGGCACUGAAACACGGGCCAGACUCCUACGGGAGGCAGCAGUGGGGAAUCUUGCACAAUGGGGGCAACCCUGAUGCAGCGACGCCGCGUGAGCGAUGAAGCCC